GAUGAACGCUAGCGGCAGGCUUAACACAUGCAAGUCGAGGGGCAGCACGAUGUAGCAAUACAUGGGUGGCGACCGGCGCACGGGUGCGUAACACGUAUGGAACUUGCCCUUUACUGGGGGAGUAGCCCGGACGGAAAUACCGGACUUAAUACCCCACUAACAAGCGGAGUGGCAUCACUCUGCUUUGUAAAGACUCCGGCGGUAAAGGAUGGCCAUGCGCCCGAUUAGCUAGNGGUUGAGGUAACGGCUCACCAA
RNAcentral lists this ribosomal RNA (255 nucleotides) under uncultured bacterium. Its description in RNAcentral is "partial 16S ribosomal RNA". It matches the Rfam family "Bacterial small subunit ribosomal RNA", at positions 28 to 271 of the family's 1533-position model. The record is from RNAcentral.